Molecule: transfer RNA, 66 nt
Filed under: Phataginus tetradactyla (long-tailed pangolin)
Lineage: Eukaryota; Metazoa; Chordata; Mammalia; Pholidota; Manidae
Description: Manis tetradactyla (long-tailed pangolin) tRNA-Pro
Rfam family: tRNA
About the family: Transfer RNA (tRNA) molecules are approximately 80 nucleotides in length. Their secondary structure includes four short double-helical elements and three loops (D, anti-codon, and T loops).
Source: RNAcentral
CAGAAAGUAGUUUAUAAAGAAUAUCAGCUUUGGGGGCUGAUGGAGGGGGUUGGACUCCCUUUCUGA